This 278-nucleotide long non-coding RNA is filed under the name Vitis vinifera (wine grape). RNAcentral describes it as "long non-coding RNA (VVIN_LNC006898)". Lineage: Eukaryota; Viridiplantae; Streptophyta; Magnoliopsida; Vitales; Vitaceae. The record is from RNAcentral.
GAUUCUAUAACAAUAUUGUCACUGGUUUUCCAUAUCUUAGCUUUUGUAGAGGUGUUAUUAAUACGCUUACAAGGAUAAUCUGGAUAUUCCUCUUGUUUGAAGAGUUCAAACCAAAUCCAAAACUUAAUAUUUUUCUUUUCUUGUCCUAAGUAGGCAUAGAAUUCUUCUUGGUAAAUGGUUCUAAUGACCUUAGGAACAGUGCUAAAGAACCAAUCAUUUCUUUGCUUAUUGACUUCAGAAUAGAAGUCCUUUCUUAAGAGAUCCUUAUUGAUAUCAAA